CCGAGCCAAGUCGGCGCAGGC
RNAcentral lists this small nuclear RNA (21 nucleotides) under Arabidopsis thaliana (thale cress). RNAcentral describes it as "snRNA_04918". The record is from RNAcentral. Lineage: Eukaryota; Viridiplantae; Streptophyta; Magnoliopsida; Brassicales; Brassicaceae.